GAAACUGCGAAUGGCUCAUUAAAUCAGUUAUCGUUUAUUUGAUAGUACCUUACUACUUGGAUAACCGUGGUAAUUCUAGAGCUAAUACAUGCUAAAAACCCCGACUUCGGAAGGGGUGUAUUUAUUAGAUUAAAAACCAAUGCCUUCGGGGCUCCUUGGUGAUUCAUGAUAACUUAUCGGAUCGCAUGGCCUUGUGCCGGCGAUGGAUUCUUCAAAUUUCUGCCCUAUCAACUUUCGAUGGUAGGAUAGUGGCCUACCAUGGUUUCAACGGGUAACGGGGAAUUAGGGUUCUAUUCCGGAGAGGGAGCCUGAGAAACGGCUACUACAUCCAAGGAAGGCAGCAGGCGCGCAAAUUACCCAAUCCCGACACGGGGAGGUAGUGACAAUAAAUACUGAUAUAGGGCUCUUUUGAGUCUUGUAAUUGGAAUGAGUACAAUUUAAAUCCCUUAACGAGGNNNNNNNNNNNNNNNNNNNNNNNNNNNNNNNNNGCGGUAAUUCCAGCUCAGCUAGCGUAUAUUAAAGUUGUUGCAGUUAAAAAGCUCGUAGUUGAACCUUGGGCCUAGCUGGCCGGUCCGCCUCACCGCGAGAACUGGUCCGGCUGGGCCUUUCCCCCUGGGGAGCCGCAUGCCCUUCACUGGGUGUGUCGGGGAACCAGGACUUUUACUUUGAAAAAAUUAGAGUGUUCAAAGCAGGCCUAUGCUCGAAUACAUUAGCAUGGAAUAAUAGAAUAGGACGUGUGGUUCUAUUUUGUUGGUUUCUAGGACCGCCGUAAUGAUUAAUAGGGAUAGUCGGGGGCAUCAGUAUUCAAUUGUCAGAGGUGAAAUUCUUGGAUUUAUUGAAGACUAACUACUGCGAAAGCAUUUGCCAAGGAUGUUUUCAUUAAUCAGUGAACGAAAGUUAGGGGAUCGAAGACGAUCAGAUACCGUCGUAGUCUUAACCAUAAACUAUGCCGACUAGGGAUCGGGCGAUGUUAUCUUUUUGACUCGCUCGGCACCUUACGAGAAAUCAAAGUCUUUGGGUUC
RNAcentral lists this ribosomal RNA (1022 nucleotides) under Pleuroascus nicholsonii. Its description in RNAcentral is "partial 18S ribosomal RNA". It matches the Rfam family "Eukaryotic small subunit ribosomal RNA", at positions 83 to 1114 of the family's 1831-position model. Lineage: Eukaryota; Fungi; Ascomycota; Leotiomycetes; Helotiales; Pleuroascaceae. The record is from RNAcentral.